GGCUUAUUGAUAAUAAUUUUAAGUCUAUCUGCCCAAUGAUUUUAAAAUUUAAUGGCUGCAGUAUAAUUAACUGUACAAAGGUAGCAUAAUCAAUUGUUUUUUAAUUAAGAACUAGAAUGAAAGAAUUAAUGAGAUAUAUUCUGUCUCAUAUAUAUAUUAUGAAAUUAAAUUUUUAGUAAGAAUGCUAAAAUAUGUUUAUGGGACGAUAAGACCCUAUAGAAUUUUAUAUUUAUAUUUGGAAUUAAAAUUUAUUUUAAGUAUAAGUAUUUGAUUGGGAGGAUUAAUAAAUUUAAUUAACUUUAUUUAAAAUAUUAACUUUAAUUAAAGAAUUAUUUUUGAUCUUUUAUUAAAAAUUAAAAGAAAAAAUUACCUUAGGGAUAACAGCGUAAUAUCUUUUUAAAGAUCAUAUUAAUAAAGAUGGUUGCGACCUCGAUGUUGAAUUAAGAUAAAUUUUAAACGGAGAAGUUUAAUGAUUAAGUCUGUUCGACUUUUAAAAUCUU
This 500-nucleotide ribosomal RNA is filed under the name Bombus lapidarius. RNAcentral describes it as "partial 16S ribosomal RNA". The stretch from base 377 to 500 matches the Rfam family "Bacterial large subunit ribosomal RNA", at positions 2473 to 2597 of the family's 2925-position model. The record is from RNAcentral. Lineage: Eukaryota; Metazoa; Arthropoda; Insecta; Hymenoptera; Apidae.